RNAcentral lists this ribosomal RNA (253 nucleotides) under uncultured bacterium. RNAcentral describes it as "partial 16S ribosomal RNA". It matches the Rfam family "Bacterial small subunit ribosomal RNA", at positions 524 to 776 of the family's 1533-position model. The record is from RNAcentral.
UACGUAGGGCGCAAGCGUUAUCCGGAAUUAUUGGGCGUAAAGAGCUCGUAGGCGGUUUGUCGCGUCUGCCGUGAAAGUCCGGGGCUCAACUGCGGGUCUGCAGUCGAUACGGGCAGGCUAGAGUUCGGUAGGGGAGACUGGAAUUCCUGGUGUAGCGGUGAAAUGCGCAGAUAUCAGGAGGAACACCGAUGGCGAAGGCAGGUCUCUGGGCCGAUACUGACGCUGAGGAGCGAAAGCGUGGGGAGCGAACAGG